RNAcentral lists this long non-coding RNA (366 nucleotides) under Amborella trichopoda. Its description in RNAcentral is "long non-coding RNA (ATRI_LNC003929)". Lineage: Eukaryota; Viridiplantae; Streptophyta; Magnoliopsida; Amborellales; Amborellaceae. The record is from RNAcentral.
UUUAGAGAGAGGAGGAAGAAGGAAGAGAGAGAGAAGAAGGUUACAGUUUAGAGAGAGAAGGAGGAAAUAGACAGAGACUAAAAUAGGGUUGGGCUCAUAGCCAAGGUUUAUAGAGAGAAGAAGAAAGAAGGAUGAAGGAAGAGGUCAUGGGCUUCACAUACCCUAAUGGAAGAGGCCCUAACUGAUUUUUAGAAAGAGAAAAGAAAGAUGGGAUGCUGAUUUGUGAUGGUUUGAUGAUGGCUUUUCUCUCUUAUUUAGGAUGUUGUUUGAGAGAGAGCCCUAACUAUACUGAUUUGUCAAGAAGUCUUAACUGAUUUUUAGAGAGAGAAAAAAAAGAGGAUUUUCUAUUAUCUUGGGGAAAUAGCA